UGAGGGAACGGGGCCGGGCUGGGCGCCUCGGCCGGCAGCGCGGGGGGUGGGGGGGGUGUCGCGGGCGUCUCUCGGAGCCCCCGGCGUGGCCGGGCAGCGCUCCCCGAGGCCGCAGGCGGCCGGGCGGGCAGGCCGCCCGUGGUGGCGGGGCGCGGGGUGCCGCACGGCGGAGCCAGGGUCCCGCAAAUGGCGGCAGGAAGGGUCUGCCUCUGCGUCCUGCCUCCGAGCAGCCGUAAAUGAUUUGGAGAUAGUCUGCAAAGAAAAAAUGUUUCUUUCUUGAGGGUAUGUACACACACAGAAGGCCUGGAAAGGCGGGUAAGGAGAGGGGGUUUUGGUUUUGCCUGGGUUUAUGUUUUAUGAGAGGAAUGCAGGCUUUGUGAGAAGCUGUGACCCAUGGAAAAAUGGGCAAAUUGUCGAAAGUGACUAUUGCCACAUAAAUGUUUAGAAACGCUGAAUAACUUCAGUCUUCUUAAGGUCUGAAAACAAAAUGUGUCUCUUCCCAAAGUAUGACUGUCACGAUAAUUGCUCCGUGGCAAGCCAUCUCUUUCAGCCACUUGUGUUGACCAAGGGAUGUGAAUACCAUCAACAGACUUUGUUGGGGCUGCUGGAGUUGCAGAAUUCCCAAGCAGAUGAAUGGUCAACAUGGCCAGGUCCUGUGCUCGCUGGCAUCCUGAAGGCAAGGUAUGUGUUGAGGCAAAAGCAGAAGAGGCAGAAGAGUGCUGGGCUCUGACUCCUGCAAACUUACUGUCCUUUGGGGAGUGUUGCUGGUUAAAAUGAGCCUCUCUAUUCCUUGGACUUCUCUAAUCUAUCCCAGAAACCUCUCCAUUCAUUCUUUGAUUAAUUGCAUCCUCCAAAGACUUUCUCCUCUAAUUCAUGUCAUCUUUAUAUGUUUGGACUUGAGCUUCAUCAAGCUGGUUUUCAUCUUCCUCUCAGUAUGUUCUCAAUAUUAGAUGUGUCAGAGGGCAGUUGUAAUUCCCAGAUUGAAUGAAAAGAUAAAGUAGCAUUGAUAUUAAUAACACUGCAGUCCGUAUACUGCAUCAUGAUCAUUCCCACAGCCUCUGUACAGAUGUUGGAUAGAAAAGGUGAUCAGCACUGAGUGCUGUUGCAUAUUGCAUCUGGGAACCCUUAACAGAAGGAAAAGCCAUCUGCUACCAUCUGGGAACAUUUAGUGAGGAAUCAGUGGAACCACGCUAAGGCAUUUCUCUUUCUGAGCCAGGUCAUGCAGCUGUGUCAGGGAUUUUGCAUGCUCCACAAUGUCAAAGGCCACCAAAGCUUUGAGUCAUCUGUAAGUCACCAGGCAUCUGGCCAUGGUCACUGGCUGAGAUAUUUUUAUUAUUACACUUAGCAUAGGUGAGGUGCAGUGCUGUAGGAGAAGUGAUCUCAGUGAGGCAGUUGCUAGCCAAGUGAGUACAGUCUAGAAGAGAUUUCUUUAGCAGGCAUCAGAGCAAAGUGUGUUUUGUUGGUGUGUGUCCCCCGCAAGAGCUGUUGGCAGCUUCCUCUCAGGAAGAAGCAGUGAUUCAUUAUUCCAGGAGCAGACUUACGCAGUCCCUGCAGUUUUUUUUCCUAGCCAAGCUGGAAUAGUCUAGAUUCUAGAUUAGUAAUUCAUAUUACAGUAGUUGCUCGGAAGUCCCUAUGCGCAAGGUGCUUUAGAGGUACAAAGAAAGAGGCAAUCCCUGUGCUAAUUUGAAGAUGUGAGCUGAACAAGAGAGAAAUUAAGAAACUUUCUCAGUGUCAGUAGGAGAUUCUGGAAAAUAUGUGAGCUGAUUGAAUAUCUCCCAAGCACUGCAGUAGCAUAGUUACUAUACAUAUUAAUUUAUAGUCAUUGACAGAUUGUAAAAAACAUGUAUAGCGUGACUUCUGUCAAGAAUUUACUGAGUGAUUUUAUGUUUGAAUUAAUAAGUUAUACACUAAAUUGAUAGAUAAUCUCUUUCAAAGUCAGGCUUACUUUAUAAAGUCCUCUAAAAUCUGUUUUCAAACAGUAAAAUUGCCUUUGUGAUCCUCUAAUGCUUUGUGAUCGUGUAAUUUAAAAAUAUUCCUAUCACCAAAACUAUCACCUAGACACUUCCAAUAGUUUACAUAGUAAAUACUUGUAAAGCAGUACAUUGAAAAUAGGCACUAUAACUGAAUUGUCUGUUAAAUGUUUUAAUUCAGCUAUUUAUUUUUCUGCACAUACAGCUUUGGCUACCCAGUAAAAUUAAUUUGAGUACUAUCAUUAGAUAAACAUGUGUUGGGGGUGCUAAAAACUUGAAGCCAUUGGCUUCAAGUACAGGUCUCUCCUCCACCAAAUACAUCAUACUUGCUGGAAUAUGACACUCCAGUCUAAUUGAACUCAAAGAAAGAGAUGUGGGUCUUGUACGUCCAGCCAGUUAUAAAAUCUUCAUUUUCACCUCUUCUUGCCUCCCUGACUAAAGAAGCUAUCACUGAUAAAUACAUAGAAAUGCAUAUAUCAUUCUAAGUCUUGUACUCUGAUGGAAGACACAAUAAGCAAAUUUAUUUCAUAAUCAUUCUAGCCUGUCAAAUACCAUUCACAAAAGAAUAAACUGUAAAAUAAAGAUUAUUUAUAAUUGUUGCUGGUUGUGUAAGAUGGGCAAAUAUGUACACAUUCAGACUAGGAUUUUUUGCUUUUUGUUUAAUUUUCUUGCUCUUUUUUUCACCUCUAAAUCUGUAUUUGACACUGUGAAGAAAAUGGACGCUUAAACACAUUAUUCCACCAGAAGGUGAGUGCUUUGGCUCAGUGCAGAACUGCCUUGUCUAAGGACAUUAAAAGCCAUUUUGGUUUGUAUGGGAGUAAUCGUAUGUUUGUGGGGUUUUCAAUGGACUGAAUUGUAGCUUCAGAAUAUGGUCCAGUAGAGUACUCAUGGGAUCCACCUGACAAGCAACUGAAACACAUACUCUCACCAGCUUUUCAGAACAGCUAUCAAGAAGCUUCCAAUAUGCAAUUUUUUGGCAACAGACUUGGUAAGGAUGCUUUCACUGCUUGCUGUGAAAUAGAGCAGCCACUCGGCCUUUCCUGUGCCGUGUGACACACAGGGUGCAUCAUGCGCUAUUCCCAUGUGACCUGGCACAUCAAGCAUGUCACCUUCAGGAGAGAGACAUGAGACAGGAGGGAGAGAAAUAAAUCUGUUUUCUCAUCGUCAGGCUUAUUGUUCCCCAUCUGCACCAAGUCUUUUUCUGCAUAAAGCUAAAUAAAGAGGUCUCAGAUUAAACCCCUACUGAGCACUUACUGACUCUGAACCGAUUCCUGUAAGCUGAAUUAAAAUGCAAUGUUAAACAAUGAAAGAACCAUAUGUUCUUGUCUCAGGACGUUUUAAAAAGAAAAUUGUCUACACAGAGCUGACAUAAUAUGACAGAAAUUGAAAGAAAAGUCAUGCAUUUACUCAUCACUAACUUUCAGAUACGCUGAUCCCUAAAGAAAUGGUUUAGCUAAGAACCAAGCAAAAAUAAGCAGACUUUUUAGCUAUAUAUUUUACCUCUGCUUAGAACGUGUUUUAGAGGCAAAUAACCAGAGUAGCAUUUAGGACCUCAGGACACAGGGAGGCAUGGCUGAGAGUGCCUAUGACUUCUGAUAACAGUACAAGUCAUGGCUUGCGAGAAGGAGAGGCGCAAAGUGUUAGCUAGCUCCUGGCCGCUGUUGCCACAGUGCUGAUGUGGGAUGUCGGUUUUGUUGCUAAAUUCGUGCCCUCACUUUUGAUAGAAAUGUAUGUCCUGUAUAUUACUGCAAUUUCACAUAAAUAUAUAAUGCUGUUUAUCAUCGUUAUCACCAAAAGAUGCUAAAAAUAUCAAUUAUGAUGACUGUACUCUUUAUUAUGUAGAAAGCCUUUUUGAUCUGCAUCUAAUGUGCAUAGGAUGGAGUCCAAGGUGAACUACAUCAGCAUGGAUUUAAAGACCAGAGUGCAACCAGCAAAUAGUAAGUCCCCCAACAGGUUUCGCCAUUGAAAAUCUGGGACAUGAGGAUUUCCAGCUCACCUUUGGAUGGAGUCCUGGGCAGGAGGCUUAGAAAUACAAUCUACCGAUGCUAACAACUCUGUUGUAGAAAGGAACCAAACCAGGUUCUACACAAGUGUUUGAACAAUCACAGAAUCUAAAGUGUGGCUGAUGCAUUGCAAAGUGUAGCAAGACUUACCUGUGUUCAUCUAACUUAUACAGCAUGCGUCACCACACUAAGCAAGAAAUCAGCUUCUCCAGCCACUGAAAGGCUGGCUCUAAAGCACCAGCAUGUCCUCCACCUCUUCUGCCACUACUGGAUGUUGAGUUUGCAGUCAACUUUUGUAAUGGUGCAUUACAACUAUUGUAGUGAUCGCCAUUCUCCAUGUCUCCUCUCCAGGUUUCCUGAAAAGAGCAGGAAGCUAUCGUGAUUCUGCCUUUUUUUUUUUUUUUUUUUUUCCCCUGCACCAGACUAUGCAGCUACCUAGCUGGUUAAAACGGAGCAUUUGAGGUUGUGUUCUCUUGGUGGGUGCAUGGUGGUGUUAUCCUGCUGCUGGGGAAAACCACACAACCAACCCUUUCCCCCAAAUUAAACAAAAAAACAUAAAACUCCAAACAACCCCCAAAUAGCGUAGCAUUAUCUAAUUAUUUUGUGAAUUAAAUAGAUCAAUUCAAGAGAAAUGAGUGAAAACAGGCACCGUCCCAGCAGAGCUACCUUCCUGCAAAGAUGUUCUCGCUUGCCUGGUCAAAGGCUGAAGUCAAAGUUCAGAUUCUCGAAGGGAAUUGCAGUACUUCUGCAAUUUUAUGCCAGGGGUCUCUCCGUUACAGAGACCAGGACUAGGAAGAAAAAAUCGGAUUAAAACUUUGCCAGACUGGUGACUGGAAUUUGCGCGUGGAGCAAAACGAGGGACGUGAGCUUCCCAAAAAACCCAAUGGAAUUUUGUCGGGCCGUGGCCUCGUCAGGCGUGAGGGAGGGGGGGAGGCCGGCGUGGCUGUGGCCGCGGUGCUUCACUGUCG
Molecule: long non-coding RNA, 4941 nt
Organism: Harpia harpyja (harpy eagle)
Lineage: Eukaryota; Metazoa; Chordata; Aves; Accipitriformes; Accipitridae
Exons: 3
Source: RefSeq, a predicted model, not a curated record